Podarcis lilfordi (Lilford's wall lizard) is the source of this 76-nucleotide non-coding RNA. NCBI's taxonomy places the organism in Eukaryota, Metazoa, Chordata, Lepidosauria, Squamata, Lacertidae. The record is from the annotation of a GenBank genome assembly.
GGAAAGGGCCAUGGCUCAGUGGUUGAUCACAUGAUUUGCAGGCAGAAGGUCCCAGGUUCAAUCCCUGGCUUCUUCA